Non-coding RNA from Podarcis lilfordi (Lilford's wall lizard), 72 nucleotides. The record is from the annotation of a GenBank genome assembly. NCBI's taxonomy places the organism in Eukaryota, Metazoa, Chordata, Lepidosauria, Squamata, Lacertidae.
AGGGCUGUAACUCAGUGGAAGAGCAUCUGCUUUGGAUGCAGAAGGUCCUGAGUUCAAACUCUGGCAUCUCUA